GGACGCCUGACAUGGCAUUUCCACGAUUAAAUAAUAUUUCAUUCUGGUUGUUGCCUCCAAGUCUCUUGCUCCUAUUAAGCUCAGCCUUAGUAGAAGUGGGUAGCGGCACUGGGUGGACGGUCUAUCCGCCCUUAAGUGGUAUUACCAGCCAUUCUGGAGGAGCAGUUGAUUUAGCAAUUUCUAGUCUUCAUCUAUCUGGUGUUUCAUCCAUUUUAGGUUCUAUAAAUUUUAUAACAACUAUCUUCAACAUGCGUGGACCUGGCCUAUAUCCACAGCUGACGUGACUCCGUACCUUGUACCCAUCUAUUGUUUAUUCACCUUAAUAUUGAUCCAUAAUCUAUCACUGAUAACUUUUAACCUCUUACAUAAUGCACUAUCACUAGGACUCACAUCUCAUCGGGGAACACCUGAAGUGAUUUUUCAUGAUCAACCUAGGGAUAAUACUAUGUUUCAAUAACCAUAUCUCAUUGUAUCCCAACGCAAUUCAUCUUAUGGGGGUAAUCUAAUCCCAUGCAAUUAAUGAAAUCCCUUUCUCGUUAAAUCAUUACUCAAUCGAAGGCCUAAGCGUCAUCCUCUUAUCUAUCACAAUUUCACCCUUAUUCUACCGCUAGGACAACAUUUCAUUUCUUCUAAAUGCACCUAGUCAUAGACUCCUCUGAGUUCAUUCAGGUUGUAUCGGGCUUUCAAUUACUUACGGAUGCCAUCAACUCUCUUGUUUUGAUGGGUUUAAUCUCGAGGACGUACAUAUUCUCGUCACCUUCUCACUCAUAUUUUCAUAUCCUUACUCCUACCUACAUAAAACCUUUUUUCUCUACAAUACUUUACAUUACGACCUAUACCUAUCUAUUUAUACUACUCGUAACCUUCCUUUAACUUGCUAGUACCAUAAUUUUCCAUUCAUGCCUUCUCAGUUUUCCUUAAAUGUAAGCAAUUACUUUUCAUGGUCGUUCUAUCACUUGUUGCACGAAUACUUUCAUAAAUUUCCUUGCAUGCCUUCUCGGUUGUCCUUAAAGUAAGCAAUUACUUUUCCUGGCCGUUCUAUCACUUGUUGCACGAAUACUUGGAUUGUCUUAUUGUCCACGAAUACUAUAAUUUCCUGUACCUCAUAUGAUCUCAAACAUCACCUUUUCUUUUUUUCCCAUUUAUUAGCCACUAUAUGCGCCUCUUUCUUAUGGAGUGCAUCCAAUGUUGUAGUGAAGCUAUUUUUACCAAACCAAUUUUUCUUCAAGUUAAUAUUCUUAGAUUGAAGCCCUCUUCCUUAUUUCCUAAGCUAGUCUUCCGUGGUACUACUUAGGGGAGAUCCUCUUACUCCUGUAAAACUAGAAGCUUAUUACACCAUAUACUCGAAGAAAUUAUUGAUAUUGUCAGUAACCUAUAAUUAUCCUUAGUUACUUACCUCUGUGCACUUGUGCUUGCAGGGAAUCUCAAACAUCACCUUUGAUGACUUUUUUUUUCUUUCCAUUCAUUAGCCAUGAUAGGUGCCACUUUCUUAUGGAGUGUAUGCAAUAUUGUAGUGAGACUGUUGUUACGAGAUCAUUUACUCUUUAGCUCACUAUGUUUAGGUGGAAACCUUCUUCCUUAUUUCCUCAGCUAGUCUUUCGUUGUAGUACUUAGGGAGACCUUCUGGCUCUCAUAAAGUUGUGAGCUUGUUAUAUCGUACAUCCAAAGGAAAUUUUCGUUAUUCUUACCCAUCUAUAAAAACCCUUAUUUACAUAACUUUGUGCCUUUGUGCUUGUAAGGUUACUUAUAAGCUCAAAUUUUUAGUGUCUCCUUAGUGGCACUCUCUCUUAUUUUCAUAAUGCUUAAAAACAGUACCUUAACUACCUCAAAUCCUAUGUGAAGUUUUUCUUCAAAUGAUCGUGAUCUCGUAUCUGCGAGAAUAAAUUCACUAUGUUGCGGUUCACUAUAUUUAUCUUGCAUAAUCUAUUGAUUUAUUAGUGACCUCUUGUCUAGCCAUAACUGAUACCUUUAAAUACCUCAAAUCCUAUCUAAAUUUUUUUUUAGAUGAUUGUGAUCUCGUAUCUGCAAGACUGAAUUCACUAUAUUGCGGUUUACUACAUUUAUUUUGCAUGAUCUAUUGAUUUAUUUGUGACCUCUUGUCUAGCCAUAACUGGGCUCUUCUUGAACCAAUUUAUCAAUAACAUCCUGGCCGAAAACUGUUACUGCCUCUCCCUGCAGUCGUGCUUGUAUAAUGUUCUGAAGUGGCAACAUAUCUAUAGGAACUGAAUAAUGCAACAUCAUCCCUCUCUCCUUUUUACCACAUUCUUCCUUUACCAUUCCAUAGUUAGCUGAACCGCUUAACUCCGACUUAAUACCAUAUCACACCAUAUUCCCCCCUUUAGGGGAGUACUAAGAUUUUGUACUACGACGAUAUACCUAUAGUUGUUUUACCUCUUCAUCUUUGCGUCUUUUCACAUUAUCAAUGAACGUUAAUCACCUUAUGCUUAACUCUGACUUAGUACCAUAUUCCCCCCUUUAGGGGAGUACUAAGACUUUGUACUACGACGAUCUACCUAUAGUUGUUUUACCUCUUCAUCUUUCACAUCUUUUCACAUUCUCAAUCAACUUUAAUCGCCUUAUGGUAACCUUGUGUACCAGGAAUAACUAAAUUUCUUACGCAUGAAGGUGACACCUACUGCAUCUAGCACACUUAUUCCCUUAAGGUUAACUCUGCUCAGAGUGCUUGCUUUAGGUAAGCAACUUCGUAAAUGGACUUUAAAGGUUAUUAGUUUGUUACCUAUUCUAUUAUUAUUGGAGCACGAUCUUUGAAAGUCUCACGAUGUCGACCAUUACCAAAUCCUCCAGUGCCUAAUUCAUGUUCGUUUUUAUCUUGUGCACCAUCCCAUACUAAUUUUUGUUACUCUGGGGUCUAACCUUUCCUCUAGGUAUAUUCUAUUAUUGCCUCAAGGCUUGUCACCUCUUGUAUUUUCCUUCAGUUGACUAUAAACUCUGUCACCGUGUCAUAUUUUGAUUUACUGUUAUCACCCAUAUAUCACAUCUUACUCAUGAUGCUUCAUUUACUUUCUUCUUAUUCUUCGACUAAUACUUCUAUUUAUCACUUUAUUUUGAAAACUUCAAGAAAAUGUCCUUUCAAUUUUAGCUCCUUUUGAUUCAUCUCAUUGGCUCUCCGAGAUGCCUAAAAUUCUCUUUCUCUCUCUCUCUCUCUCUAGGGCGGGAGUCAUACUAAGGUAAAUAUUUUAUCCCUUUUAGGAUUACGCUUCCUAUAUUCUGAAAUUGCUGAAUAUUCUAGUAUUCCUAUCUGAUUGCACUAUUCUAGAGAUCACCAUCUAGGUGCCUUACAAGGAGAUCUAUUACUACCUUUGCAGUACCCUUCGAAAAUGUUAGCUAAUGAUAACAAUCAAUCCACAAAUUGUUGUCACUCUAACCCCAGCUUGAUCCUGAUAUUACAUCUUUUUCUUAAACUAUAUUUGUCAGUUCCCAUAGGAAAUAAUUAAGGCGGGUGUGGUCAAUUGUAUAAAAACUUUGUUACUGUUGAAAGUAACUCAGAAUGCUUAUAUAUUUCUCUACCUGAAUUGCAAAUACUGAUAAUCUUCAUUGUCUAGGUACUUCGUACUUGUAUAAAACUUUGUUACUAUUGAAAGUAACUCAGAAUGCUUAUAUAUAUCUCUACCGGAAUUGCAAAUACUGAUAAUCUUCAUUGUCUAGGUACUUCGUACUCUUCUUCUUCUUUUCUCAUGUUAUUUCUUUCACUUGUUGAAACUUAUAUCCACCUCCUAAUUCUCUCGUUGCUCUUUACCAUAUGGGUGGAUAGAUACUCAUGCCUUGGGGCUCCGUAUCAAGAGGCGCACAUAUCUUAAUAUAUACAUGAUUUGCUGAAGACCUAACAUUUACGCAUCAUAAGCAUGAUACAAAAUAGAGUUCCUCUGAUAAACUCUUCCACGUCCUUAUUCAAUCUCUUACCAACUGUCUUUCUAGAUAUAGGCAUCAUUGUGUCUUAAAUAAGAUAGCGUUUAGGAAAUUGAGUUCUUAUAACUGAGCUCUACCACACGAUCUAGAGUAAGAAGAAAGAGUNNNNNNNNNNNNNNNNNNNNNNNNNNNNNNNNNNNNNNNNNNNNNNNNNNNNNNNNNNNNNNNNNNNNNNNNNNNNNNNNNNNNNNNNNNNNNNNNAGUCCUAAAUGCCAUGUAGCCUCCUGCUUAUAAGUGUGGUGCACUACACACCCAUAAACAAGACUCUACUAGACACGGCUUAUAGACUCCCUAGGACAGAACUGCUCCGAUACCACUUUUUUCACGACCCAAAUCGAAGUGCCGCGAUGGACACCCGGUGCCUUACUCAAUCGAGUACCAACUUAACAUAUCUUUCUUAUCAUAGUAUAAUGGGUAAGUGAGCCAGAAAACCCAUCAUGAGAUAAUAAGAAUAAAACUUAAGGGAAUGCUUAACAUAUGACGACCCAACAUGAUAUGCAAACUUAUACAUGUGAUAUAUGGGCCUACAAGGCCGACAUGACCAUUUGUAAACUCAAAACGUAGGCCAACAAGGCCAUAAAUGUAUCCAUACACCUGAUAUCUGUCUACAAGCCUCUAAGAGUACAUAAAAUUAUAAAUGUCGGGACAGGGCCCCUCCAUACCAAUCAAUACAUAUUAAAAGCAUAUUAACCAAAUAGGCAAUUCCGGAGCAAGUGGAGUCCUGACAUUUGUCUACAAGCCUCUAAGAGUACAUAAAAUAAUAAAGGUCGGGACAGGGCCCCGUCAUAUCAAUCAAUACAUAUCAAGAGCAUAUUGAUCAAAUAGGCAACUCCGGAGCAAGUGGAGUGCACCAACACCUUUCGCUGAGCUGAUAGCCUACAUUGAGAAAUGCCAACCUGUUUAUCGGGACCUGUGGGCAUGAAAUGCAACAUCCCCAAGCAAAAGGGACGUUAGUGGAAUAAAGUACUGAGUAUAUAAGGCAAGAAAGCAUAAACAAGAGCAGUAAUGUAAAGAGAGAUAGUUGAGGUACAACCUGUAACAUCUGAGUGCCUCUGGGGGCUACUGAUAUGAAAUGCAUAAUACAUGUAUAUACAUAAACUUUUAAUACCUUUACCUCUGUGGGCAUCAUCAUCAUCACAUCUUACCCGACCUCAGAGGACUCGGUAAAAAUGUACCCGGCCAUCAUAAGGCUCGAUACAAUUAUACCCAGCCACGUGGAGCUCGGUAAAACCCAACUGAUCAGUGGUUGAACAGUAGGUGCCGUAUCUGGCCGACUAUAGUGCGGCUUGGUAGAGUAAAAUAGAAACAUUAAUAUAAUGCAUGCUCGACUCAUGGAAUCACCUUCUAAACCUUUUGGAGUGUCCGGUAGAGAAAAAUAGAUACAUAUAUAAUGCAUGCUCGACUCAUGGAAUCACGUUCUAAACCUUUUGGAGUGUCUUAAGAACCUUAUGGACAUCUAUUCCCUCAAUAUGAACCUUAGUAAGAUUCAAGGACCAUACACAUUUGCUUAGAAUAAUUUGAUAUGGAAAGAACAACAUGGACAACCUUAUUUGCUAGGAGUAGUUCCGGUAAGAAGUAGCAUACUCAUUUCUAUCUUGCCAAAAGAAAGAAGAAAUGCCUUAACAUACCUUAAACAUGUUGAGUCCUUAAUUCCUUCCAAGUGACUCUUCAAACAAGAAAACUCGAUCUAUCAUAGCAUAAGGAGAUUCAAAAUUAGUGUUGAGCAAAAGCCAAGUCUAUAACUUAAGCUAGUAGCUCGUUUUACUUAAAUUUAAGCAGCAUCUCCUUUGUAACGAGGGCCUCCACCAAUACCAUAUACCAACAACAACAACCAGAGAAAUCCAUCAACAUAUAAAUGUUAAUAGCAAGACACCACAUAAUAAUAAUAAGUCACAACUACUUCAAGACGAGGCGGCAAGCUCCAAUUGGAAUCUGUAUAACCCAUCUUCCACUUAUAUACUUCUUACAUUAGGUUACAAGUAUCAUUAACAUGAUAAUGAAGUCAUUCAUCAAUGAUUCCAUCCUUAUACCAUAUAUUUAUAAUAAAGGAAAUAACCCACAACUCUAACUACCUUCGAUUAGUAACUUUAUUCACUAGUUCAUAACUACUCCAUCCAUUUAACUUAAUUAACGUCAAUAUAACCUUAUGAACAUGCAAGAACACAAUAUAAAUACCUCCUAAAGUAACUUCAAGUCAAAAUAGAAGUUAUAUUUAGCUUACAAGAACCCUCAAUGGCAAUAUAACACCAUAGAAGUGACUUAAGCUAAUCCAAGUGUUAUCAUGUAGUUUAUCAUCCAAACAGCUUAACCAACAUACAAGCAAGAUUAAGAACAAUUAGUAGGCUGUUAUGCUCACCUUAUACAGCAGCAAAAACUUGGAAUUUUAUCCAAAUACAGCUCACAACAAUCCUCAAUGACAACACAACCUCAAAGAGGUGUUGUUCUCAACUAGGACUAGGUUUUAGUGUUGAUAAGUAGUGUAAUCCAUUUGAAAGACAUGAAAUAAUCUAGGGUUGAUAUAACAACCAUGAGUAACGAAUAUAAAAUACUUAAAAUAACCUCCCAUACGAGCUGAAACCACCCAAAAAUCAGCAACAACAUGAAGAACAAGAAACUUACUAGCCCCACGGGAUUCCUGACACUUGAUUUGGGUUGUUUGCCCUUUGUUUGGGUCUUGGAUCAUGAGAGAACUUUGAGAGAGUGUUUAUAAGGUUCUAAUUUCUGAAUAUACUGAAAAUAAUGACUUGAAACGGGGUUAGGAAUCUUAUAUAUAUCCAUAUGUCUUAAACCGCAGAGCUGCUUGGCGCAGUCUUGCGAAACCGCGAAUAUCUCUCUACUCCAAUGUCGUAUGGAUGAACGGUUUAAUGCGCUGGAAACUAGACUCGUAUAUAUUCAAUUUGGUAUAUAUAUAAUUCCUUUAUUCUGAGUAUAUUUGGAGAAAAGUGCAUCUACAUUUAACCAAAAGUUUAGUAAAAUUAAUGAAUGUAACUUGUGAUGACCUUUGCCAACUCUUGUUCCACAGCUUUCUUGCCUUCAAAAUGUAGAAAAUCGAUAUCAUAUGACUACAAUAACUCAUACAAUAACUUCCUUAUUAUGUAAAGAACCCUAGUCUCACCCCAAGGUACAUGUUAUAACAUUCCAAAUUUGUCGACUUUCAAGAAAACUUAUUUUCUUCUGUUCGUUUAGCGCCUAAGAUUUCCAACCCAUUUGGUACUUGUUAUUCAUCAUUGUAAAGACUUGUAACCUCCAAUAUAACAAGAUGAAACUUACAUUAUGUACUUUCAUUAUGAUCUCAUUUAUGAGCUUAUAUUAAUUGGCUUACGACGUACUCUCACGUACGAAAACAUGGAAUGUAACAUGAGGUCCACCAAAAUGUGGGUAGGGACCAUAAAAUUUACAAUAAGCAUCACUCAAACAGGAUUAUUCCAAGAAUCUAUAUAAAAAAUUAUAAUACUAAAAAAUAAGAAAAUUAAAAACUUGAACAAAAGUCAAUUAAAGCUUAACUUAGAUAAACAAUCAAUAAUUAAGUCCCUGUUAAUGGCGCCAAAAACUUGUUGGUUCCCCAAGUACGUGCAAGUAUAUGUGGUCGUCAAAUAAUAAAAUGACUCAAAAGUCAGAUGUUGAACCCACAAACACUUAGAUUAAUUGUUACUCAAUCUAACUAAAAUCAAUGAACUGUCCAAGAUAAUAAAAAAUGUUAGUUUUUUUACUAAACUACUUUUGUA
RNAcentral lists this long non-coding RNA (7652 nucleotides) under Nicotiana benthamiana. RNAcentral describes it as "long non-coding RNA (NBEN_LNC010443)". The record is from RNAcentral. Lineage: Eukaryota; Viridiplantae; Streptophyta; Magnoliopsida; Solanales; Solanaceae.